Molecule: long non-coding RNA, 741 nt
Filed under: Pongo abelii (Sumatran orangutan)
Lineage: Eukaryota; Metazoa; Chordata; Mammalia; Primates; Hominidae
Description: lincRNA
Source: RNAcentral
GCGUGAGCCACCGCGCCCGGCCGAUGGGCAGCCAGGUGUGCUCCGGGAGGAGGAGGACACCCUGGAAAGACAGUGGGGCCAGACACUGAACUGCCUUUGGAAGCAAGUAGGAGCAACAGCGAAGGUUUGCUGGCUCAGAAGCAAGGUCUCGCUGUGUUACCCGGGCUGGAGUGCAGUGGCUACUUACAGACAUGAUCAUAGCAUACUGCAGCCUCGAACUCCUGGACUAAAGCAGUUCUCCUGCCUCAGCCUCCAGAGCAGCUGGGACUGCAGACAUGCACCACAGAGCCCAGCCUGAGUCAUUUUGAUUCUGUAACUGGUGUCCUCUCGGCGGGCUGGCUCACACCCUCCACCACCAGCUGGAGAUGGAAGGAGGAUGCUCACUGUUCAUUCCUCAUGCAGGCCAUCGAUGGAAAUGUCAGACAGUGCGAGUCCACACCUGAACAGUUCUGGGGUCCGCUCUGGGACUGACACUGGCAGAUCCAUCGUGGCACCCGAGCUCUGUGAGGGCAAGACUUUGUUCGGCUGUGGGCUAUGCCCCCAACCCCUCGGACAGUGCCUGCACAGGUGGGCAUUUUUGUUGGAUGAAGGAUUUUCUGUUAAAUGUGUCCAGCACACACACACAAAAAUAAAGCCCAGCAGAUGCUGUUCCAUUGUUUGCUGACUUGCAUCGUUUCUAUGAGAAGUCUGCAGUCUUUUGCAGCAUUGUUUUCCUAUGUAUGCUUGUCUCCUCCCACCCCA